Long non-coding RNA from Raphanus sativus (radish), 755 nucleotides. RefSeq lists it as uncharacterized. The record is from RefSeq and is a predicted model, not a curated record. The transcript is spliced from 2 exons. NCBI's taxonomy places the organism in Eukaryota, Viridiplantae, Streptophyta, Magnoliopsida, Brassicales, Brassicaceae.
AAUAAAAUCAUACAAGUCCAAGGCCUCAGUUUGUUUCUUAGAACUAACAUAACCCAGUACAAAAGCCCAAAUCAAGAAUCAUUACAAAACCCACAAAAAGCCCAAAAGAAUUAAAGCCAAUCGUCGCUACCAGAGACGAUGGAGAGGUCGCAUAGGAAUGAUGAUGGAAACGAAAGAGUUGUCAAGAUAGCCACUGUUGCAUCAUAGAAGAGGAGGCUAAAGGGUUUGCAUCUCUGAUUGAAAGGAUCUUGUCUCUUACUUGGCGGUCGAUCAGGCGGACCAAGGCGUCAGAAGAGCGGAAGGAGUUUCUGUGGAGGUAUGCAUUAUGCUCAAACAAGAUCCAAUAGAUGCAUGAUUGCCAGCAAAUAGUUGCUAAGUGUCGUAUCGCUGGCCCAUCAAUAACCCAUUCGUAGAAAUGGUGGUGAGAAUUGCAUGUACCUCUACUUGAGAGUCCGAUCCAGCCGGUGGUAAAUUCGAGGAACCAUUAGUCUGAAGAGAGGGCAGAGUUGCCAUUUCUGGUAUCCCAAGGAAGGAGUUUCCAAGUUAGAGAUGCUGUCUCAGACUGCUUAUAGAUGACCAGUUAUCAGUCCAUAAACGCCAGGAGAGACCAUUUGAUACACGGAGAUUGAUCCAAUUAUAUGGUUCACUUUUUUCUUAACGGCUUUUGUAAAAGUAUUAUACAAUACAAAACGAGAAAAGAGCUAAGUGAAUAUGAUUGAAUACCUCUUCAAAAUCAGAUAUUCAUUUUUUCCUAA